Molecule: unclassified non-coding RNA, 488 nt
Filed under: Hevea brasiliensis (rubber tree)
Lineage: Eukaryota; Viridiplantae; Streptophyta; Magnoliopsida; Malpighiales; Euphorbiaceae
Source: RNAcentral
GAAAGGAAAUUUAUAUGAAAUUCAUAUUUGUCCAUUGUGCAUAUAGCUAGCUAAAACAAAAGGCACCAAAAAUCAAAUUAGUGGACAGCCUAUGCCCACUUGUUAUCAUAAUUUAUACAUGAUUGCAUCCACUUACAAUAUAAGAAGAAUAAUAGGGUUCUUCUUUGGAUAGUAGAAACCUAAAAAGAAAUGUUAAGCCUUGCCAGUAUACAAGUUUUAACUUGUGAAAAGUUUUCACUUUACAAUCCUCUACAACUAUUCUCUCAUUGAUCCAUAUAUUCCAGCAAUCAUAAAAAAUACGUCUCCGAAGAUGAUUAAAUUGAGUUCUGAUUGAACUUCUGGAGGUCUUAACAGUUUCAUGAUUAGGAUUCUACAAUGAAAAUGGUUUAUGUGCCACUGGAAGUCUUAAGACAUCAGGGAAACAAAAGAAAAAAGUUGUUAAGCAACACAGCCCUAAGUUAGCAGAAAAGAAGGACACUAAACUUGGC